UACGUAGGGGGCAAGCGUUGUCCGGAAUCACUGGGCGUAAAGCGCACGUAGGCGGACUUGUCAGUCAGGGGUGAAAUCCCGGGGCUCAACCUCGGAACUGCCUCUGAUACAGCAAGUCUCGAGUCCGGAAGAGGUGGGUGGAAUUCCUAGUGUAGAGGUGAAAUUCGUAGAUAUUAGGAAGAACACCGGUGGCGAAGGCGGCCCACUGGUCCGGUACUGACGCUGAGGUGCGAAAGCGUGGGGAGCAAACAGG
Molecule: ribosomal RNA, 253 nt
Filed under: uncultured bacterium
Lineage: Bacteria
Description: partial 16S ribosomal RNA
Rfam family: Bacterial small subunit ribosomal RNA
Source: RNAcentral